CUAGUUGGUGAGGUAACGGCUUACCAAGGCGACGAUCUGUAGCGGGUCUGAGAGGAUGAUCCGCCACACUGGAACUGAGACACGGUCCAGACUCCUACGGGAGGCAGCAGUGGGGAAUUUUGGACAAUGGGGGCAACCCUGAUCCAGCCAUGCCGCGUGAGUGAAGAAGGCCUUCGGGUUGUAAAGCUCUUUCGGCCGGGAAGAAAUCGCAUGGGCCAAUACCCUGUGUGGAUGACGGUACCGGAAUAAGAAGCACCGGCUAACUACGUGCCAGCAGCCGCGGUAAUACGUAGGGUGCGAGCGUUAAUCGGAAUUACUGGGCGUAAAGCGUGCGCAGGCGGUUUUGUAAGACAGGCGUGAAAUCCCCGGGCUCAACCUGGGAACUGCGUUUGUGACUGCAAGGCUAGAGUACGGCAGAGGGGGGUGGAAUUCCACGUGUAGCAGUGAAAUGCGUAGAGAUGUGGAGGAACACCAAUGGCGAAGGCAGCCCCCUGGGUCGAUACUGACGCUCAUGCACGAAAGCGUGGGUAGCAAACAGGAUUAGAUACCCUGGUAGUCCACGCCCUAAACUAUGUCAACUAGGUGUUGGGUGGGUAAAACCAUUUAGUACCGUAGCUAACGCGUGAAGUUGACCGCCUGGGGAGUACGGCCGCAAGGUUAAAACUCAAAGGAAUUGACGGGGACCCGCACAAGCGGUGGAUGAUGUGGAUUAAUUCGAUGCAACGCGAAAAACCUUACCUACCCUUGACAUGCCAGGAACUUGCCAGAGAUGGCUUGGUGCCCGAAAGGGAGCCUGGACACAGGUGCUGCAUGGCUGUCGUCAGCUCGUGUCGUGAGAUGUUGGGUUAAGUCCCGCAACGAGCGCAACCCUUGUCGUUAAUUGCCAUCAUUUAGUUGGGCACUUUAGCGAGACUGCCGGUGACAAACCGGAGGAAGGUGGGGAUGACGUCAAGUCCUCAUGGCCCUUAUGGGUAGGGCUUCACACGUCAUACAAUGGUCGGUACAAAGGGUCGCCAAGCCGCGAGGUGGAGCCAAUCCCAGAAAGCCGAUCGUAGUCCGGAUUGCAGGCUGCAACUCGCCCGCAUGAAGUCGGAAUCGCUAGUAAUCGUGGAUCAGCAUGUCACGGUGAAUACGUUCCCGGGUCUUGUACACACCGCCCGUCACACCAUGGGAGCGGGUUCCGCCAGAAGUAGGUAGCCUAACCGCAAGGAGGGCGCUUACCACGGCGGGGUUCGUGACUGGGGUGAAGUCGUAACAAGGUAGCCGUAGGGGAACCUGCGGCUG
This 1284-nucleotide ribosomal RNA is filed under the name metagenome. RNAcentral's name for it is "bacterial SSU rRNA". It matches the Rfam family "Bacterial small subunit ribosomal RNA", at positions 245 to 1520 of the family's 1533-position model. The record is from RNAcentral.